UAGGGAAUCUUCCACAAUGGACGAAAGUCUGAUGGAGCAACGCCGCGUGAGUGAUGAAGGUUUUCGGAUCGUAAAACUCUGUUGUAAGGGAAGAACAAGUACGUUAGGAAAUGAACGUACCUUGACGGUACCUUAUUAGAAAGCCACGGCUAACUACGUGCCAGCAGCCGCGGUAAUACGUAGGUGGCAAGCGUUGUCCGGAUUUAUUGGGCGUAAAGCGCGCGCAGGUGGUUUCUUAAGUCUGAUGUGAAAUCUCGCGGCUCAACCGCGAGCGGUCAUUGGAAACUGGGGAACUUGAGUGCAGAAGAGGAUAGUGGAAUUCCAAGUGUAGCGGUGAAAUGCGUAGAGAUUUGGAGGAACACCAGUGGCGAAGGCGACUGUCUGGUCUGUAACUGACACUGAGGCGCGAAAGCGUGGGGAGCAAACAGG
RNAcentral lists this ribosomal RNA (429 nucleotides) under uncultured bacterium. RNAcentral's name for it is "bacterial SSU rRNA". It matches the Rfam family "Bacterial small subunit ribosomal RNA", at positions 355 to 776 of the family's 1533-position model. The record is from RNAcentral.